Gallus gallus (chicken) is the source of this 648-nucleotide long non-coding RNA. RefSeq lists it as uncharacterized. The record is from RefSeq and is a predicted model, not a curated record. The transcript has 2 exons. Lineage: Eukaryota; Metazoa; Chordata; Aves; Galliformes; Phasianidae.
GCGGCGCUGAGGAGGCCGGGGCCGGGGUCGCCGCCCGCCCGCACUCACCGCAGCCCGCAGGCCUGCACCGCCGCCGGGCUCCCGGCCGUACCCGAGCCCUGCUCUGACGUCACACAGCUGGGGCGCUGCCCUCACGCUGUAGCCGAGUGGCGUCACAAAGCCGCGCGCCGCCGCAGCCAAUCAGCGUAACGCCUGUCGUCACGCCCAGGAGGAGAGACGGGUACGAGGUGAGCGCCGGCAUCACGUGAUGAAGGCGGACCAAUCGCGGCUGGCCCAGCCCCGUCCCGGCAGCCCCUGCGCUGAGGUGAGUUGAGCCCUGGGGGGCGAUGCCUUUGAGUCGAUAUGCUGCCUGUUCAUCUGUGGCCUUUACCACCGAGCUUUUCUCCGGUUUGCUGUGCGUUUUUCCUCUGAGAGAUGUGCGAGCUCAAAGGGCAGCAGCUGCCGGGACACCAGGCUGCAGCCCGCCUCCCUGCUGCCGUCCACGGGAACGAUACUGCGUGCUUCAGAAGGUCUGUAAGCGCUCCGGAGGUCUGUGGAGUUCGGUGUGUAGUCAGACGGUGCUCUGGAUGAGUCCAGUGCUGUAUGAGUGCUUCCCGUACUCUCACUGAGCCAUACCGGGUCCAUAGGUAAUAAAUGUGGUAACAAUCA